This is a long non-coding RNA of Oncorhynchus nerka (sockeye salmon), 237 nucleotides long. RefSeq lists it as uncharacterized. The record is from RefSeq and is a predicted model, not a curated record. Lineage: Eukaryota; Metazoa; Chordata; Actinopteri; Salmoniformes; Salmonidae. The transcript is spliced from 3 exons.
CCAGGUGUGUAUGGAAACAAGACAAGGCAAAUGGAUAUAUGGAAAAUGGAGCGGUGAUGGCUAGAAAGCCGGUGACAUCUAUCGCCGAACACCGCCCGAACAAGUCAUGACACUGCCACAACAUUCACUGUCUUCUUGGAUGGCUCAAGAAUGGCAACCUUCAUGGAACCAAUGGAAAAGAGGUUGUACUUGUCUUUGAGCUGGCAGUCUGACCAUUGUAGUAUGGGGAUGAAGAAG